This 73-nucleotide transfer RNA is filed under the name Alphaproteobacteria bacterium. Its description in RNAcentral is "tRNA-Gly". It matches the Rfam family "tRNA". Rfam says of the family: Transfer RNA (tRNA) molecules are approximately 80 nucleotides in length. Lineage: Bacteria; Pseudomonadati; Pseudomonadota; Alphaproteobacteria. The record is from RNAcentral.
GCAGGCGUAGCUCACUUGGAAGAGCGUCGGGUUUCCACCCCGAAGGUCGCCGGUUCGACCCCGGUCGCCUGCU